CACGUACUGUGCGAACGCUAUUCGGAAUCACUGGGCUUAAAGGGUGCGUAGGCGGCCAGUUAAGUAGGGUGUGAAAGCUCUCGGCUCAACCGAGGAAUUGCGCUCUAAACUGAUUGGCUUGAGUGAGAUAGGGGUGUGCGGAACUUCCGGUGGAGCGGUGAAAUGUGUUGAUAUCGGAAGGAACACCAGUAGCGAAGGCGGCACACUGGGUCUUCACUGACGCUGAGGCACGAAAGCUAGGGGAGCAAACGGG
Molecule: unclassified non-coding RNA, 253 nt
Filed under: uncultured Planctomycetales bacterium
Lineage: Bacteria; Pseudomonadati; Planctomycetota; Planctomycetia; Planctomycetales
Description: contains 16S-23S intergenic spacer region
Rfam family: Bacterial small subunit ribosomal RNA
Source: RNAcentral